Molecule: long non-coding RNA, 2227 nt
Filed under: Homo sapiens (human)
Lineage: Eukaryota; Metazoa; Chordata; Mammalia; Primates; Hominidae
Description: HSALNT0091316
Source: RNAcentral
AGUAGAAGAUCCUGAUUACCUUUUAGUCAUAGAUAGUUUCAUUAUGUUAUCUUUUAGGGUCUGGAAUACACUGACCAGUGUAUUAGACAAAAUUUUAUGAGAAUUGGUUAAAGAUAUAGGGAAGAAAUGUAUUUGGAAAAAAACAAACCAAACCAAACCAAAACAAAACAAAAACCAUUAUUUUGAGAGUAAAUACUUGGGGGGAAGAAGCUUGCAAGCCACCCGAAUAUGGCCUGGACUCUGGCGUGUGUGUGCGUGCUGGGGAGUAUCUUGGUGUUGGACUCUGGCAUGUGUGUGCGUGCUGGGGAGUGUCUUGAUGGUGAUGUUGUGUCAUUGCUUCAUUUUUGGCACUCAGUCACUACUCAAGAAAACCAGAUUGAAAAUUUGGAAUCUGUGCUUCAGUGGAUUGAAACUGGCCUCCAGUCACUAAGGAAAAAAUCAAAACAAAACACACAAGAAUUUAGAGAGAAUAUUUUUCUGCCAAAAAAUAAUUUUUCCUUUAUGCUAUUUCUUAUUUGGGUCAAUACUCCAAUGGAAAAAAUAGAUAGAUUGGUCAAGAGUUCAAUAUAAUUUUCUGUGACAUUUGAACUAAAGUAACUCAUAAAAACUUAAACACAGGAAAUUGUAUCCUCUCCUGCUGAUGUAUGUGUGACUAUUUGUCUCUCUUAAAAGAAAAAAGUAGAAGAAGAGAAUUAAUUGAAUGGUAUUUUGUUUUACUUGAGAUGUUAAACUAAUGUCAAACUAAUUUAUUUAUUCAAUAAAUAUUUAUUAAGCACCUACUACAUGCUGGUACUACAAGCCAGGUAUAGAUGCUUGGGAUGUAUUAAUGAGCAAAACAAAACCAGUAGCAAACUUGUACACGCAGAUAAGGGUUUCAAAUAUUGUUGGCAUGGGCCAGGUGCAAUGGAUCACACCUGUAAUCCUAGCACUUUGGGAGGCUCUUUAAAUAGAGACCCCCAUCUCUAUUUAAAGAAAAAAGAAAAAAAAUUAUUGUUGGCACAGUCAUAAAAAUGGGAACAGUAGACACAGGGGAAUACAAGAUUGGGGAAGGGAGUGAAGUAAAUGUUAAAAAAACUAUCUGUUGGGUACUAUACUCACUACCUGGAUGACAGGUUGGAUUCAUGCAUACUCCAAAACUCAGCAUCAUGCAAUAUACCCGGGUAACAAACCUGCACAUGUAUCCCCUGAUUCUAAAAUAAAAGUUCAAAAAAUAAAAAUAAAAUAAAAAUCAUUGGGCUUCUGAGACUCAUUUGUUAACUAAUUUAUUUUCUUGCUAUUAUUGCUAUCAUAAUGCUUGGCUAAAUAGCUGUUAUAAUUGCCUCAAUUUUGAAAAUAUCAGGUUUGUUCGUUUGUUUGUUUUUGAGAUGGAGUUUUGCUCUGUCACCCAGGCUGGGGUGCAAUUGAGCAAUCUCGGCUCACUGCAACCUCUUCCUCCCAGGUUUAAGCUAUUCUCCUGCCUCAGCCUCCUGAGUAGCUGGGAUUACAGGUACAAGCCACCAAGCCUGGCUAAUUUUUUGUAUUUUUAGUAGAGACGAGGUUUCACCAUAUUGGCCAGGCUGGUCUCGAACUCCUGACCUCCAGUGAUCUGCCCGCCUCAGCCUCCCAAAGUGCUGUGAUUACAGGCAUGAGCCACUGCUCCCGGCCUCAAAAUAUCAAUUAGAAUCUAGCUUCCUGCCCUUUGUUGAGCCAAAUGAUAUGAUAGGUGAGGAGAACUGGGAAACUUAGAGGAGGUUACGUAGAUCUUUACAAAAACAGAGGGGCUGACUCUGGGAUAAUAUGGAGAAUACUGGGGAAGAAAAGUAUUAUUCAAGUGAGGAAGAAUCCACAUAAAAGAAGAGAUUGGGAUUUCUUCUUUUUCUUACUUUCUUUCUUUUUUUUUUUUUUUUUUGAGACAGUCUCACCCAGGCUGGAGAGCAGUGGCGUGAUCUCGGCUUGCUGCAACCUCUGCCCUGCCAGGUUCAAGCAAUUCUCCUACCUCAGCCUCCUGAGUAGCUGGGAUUACAGGCACACACCACCAUGCCUGCCUAAUUUUUGUAUUUUUAGUAGAGAUGGGGUUUCACUAUGUUGGCCAGGCUGGUCUUGAACUCCUAACCUCAAGUGAUCCUCCCACCUCGGCCUCCAAAAGUGCUGGGAUUACAGGUGUGAGCCACCGCCCCUGGCCGACAAUAUCUUCUUGACAGAGGAUUUCAACUGGAGAAAGACUCCGCUUCCAGAAAGAUGACUGACU